GGCAACCGUAUGCAGCCCUGUCAUCAGCUGCCUAUCUUCCUUUGGCCCCACGACAACAUUCAUGGCAUGAGAAAACAGAAAGGCACGCCCGUUUCUCCCCUGUGCCGAUCAAGGCAAUGUAGAAUAAAGAUCACAAAAUCAAUUCACCAAAUUGUCGCCUCCUUCGAUCAUAGCAAGAUGUUAAUUUUAACAACAUACUAUCAUGAAUCUCCUAAAUCAGCAAAGAAUGUUCUAAAAUGAACACCAAGUUUUCACUGGAAGGACAAAUUCCAUCGAUAUAAACUAUUGCAUAAGACAAAAAGAACUUCUGACAAUCAUCAACGUCAACUCAAAACACAACAGAUAGGCUACAAAAAUGCAUGCAGGAAUACCUGAAGAAAUCGAGGAAUAUAUGAAGAAAUAGGCUACAAGAGCUUCACCUGAAAUGCUUUGGAUAUGAUAUCAUCGUGAAGGCAGACGUGGUUUCGGCAAUUGCUGCAGCUGUAAACACGAGGCCCGAUCAAUUCCGCCAUGGAUGGCGCCCCGGCUGCUCUUAAU
Molecule: long non-coding RNA, 537 nt
Filed under: Musa acuminata (dwarf banana)
Lineage: Eukaryota; Viridiplantae; Streptophyta; Magnoliopsida; Zingiberales; Musaceae
Description: long non-coding RNA (MACU_LNC002076)
Source: RNAcentral